AUUGAACGCUGGCGGCAGGCCUAACACAUGCAAGUCGAGCGGUAGAGAGAAGCUUGCUUCUCUUGAGAGCGGCGGACGGGUGAGUAAUGCCUAGGAAUCUGCCUGGUAGUGGGGGAUAACGUUCGGAAACGGACGCUAAUACCGCAUACGUCCUACGGGAGAAAGCAGGGGACCUUCGGGCCUUGCGCUAUCAGAUGAGCCUAGGUCGGAUUAGCUAGUUGGUGAGGUAAUGGCUCACCAAGGCGACGAUCCGUAACUGGUCUGAGAGGAUGAUCAGUCACACUGGAACUGAGACACGGUCCAGACUCCUACGGGAGGCAGCAGUGGGGAAUAUUGGACAAUGGGCGAAAGCCUGAUCCAGCCAUGCCGCGUGUGUGAAGAAGGUCUUCGGAUUGUAAAGCACUUUAAGUUGGGAGGAAGGGCAGUAAAUUAAUACUUUGCUGUUUUGACGUUACCGACAGAAUAAGCACCGGCUAACUCUGUGCCAGCAGCCGCGGUAAUACAGAGGGUGCAAGCGUUAAUCGGAAUUACUGGGCGUAAAGCGCGCGUAGGUGGUUUGUUAAGUUGGAUGUGAAAUCCCCGGGCUCAACCUGGGAACUGCAUUCAAAACUGACUGACUAGAGUAUGGUAGAGGGUGGUGGAAUUUCCUGUGUAGCGGUGAAAUGCGUAGAUAUAGGAAGGAACACCAGUGGCGAAGGCGACCACCUGGACUAAUACUGACACUGAGGUGCGAAAGCGUGGGGGGCAAACAGGAUUAGAUACCCUGGUAGUCCACGCCGUAAACGAUGUCAACUAGCCGUUGGAAGCCUUGAGCUUUUAGUGGCGCAGCUAACGCAUUAAGUUGACCGCCUGGGGAGUACGGCCGCAAGGUUAAAACUCAAAUGAAUUGACGGGGGCCCGCACAAGCGGUGGAGCAUGUGGUUUAAUUCGAAGCAACGCGAAGAACCUUACCAGGCCUUGACAUCCAAUGAACUUUCUAGAGAUAGAUUGGUGCCUUCGGGAACAUUGAGACAGGUGCUGCAUGGCUGUCGUCAGCUCGUGUCGUGAGAUGUUGGGUUAAGUCCCGUAACGAGCGCAACCCUUGUCCUUAGUUACCAGCACGUCAUGGUGGGCACUCUAAGGAGACUGCCGGUGACAAACCGGAGGAAGGUGGGGAUGACGUCAAGUCAUCAUGGCCCUUACGGCCUGGGCUACACACGUGCUACAAUGGUCGGUACAGAGGGUUGCCAAGCCGCGAGGUGGAGCUAAUCCCACAAAACCGAUCGUAGUCCGGAUCGCAGUCUGCAACUCGACUGCGUGAAGUCGGAAUCGCUAGUAAUCGCGAAUCAGAAUGUCGCGGUGAAUACGUUCCCGGGCCU
RNAcentral lists this ribosomal RNA (1358 nucleotides) under uncultured bacterium. RNAcentral's name for it is "bacterial SSU rRNA". It matches the Rfam family "Bacterial small subunit ribosomal RNA", at positions 28 to 1381 of the family's 1533-position model. The record is from RNAcentral.